RNAcentral lists this long non-coding RNA (448 nucleotides) under Vigna radiata. Its description in RNAcentral is "long non-coding RNA (VRAD_LNC009821)". The record is from RNAcentral. Lineage: Eukaryota; Viridiplantae; Streptophyta; Magnoliopsida; Fabales; Fabaceae.
GAAUAACCUGUUUCUUCAUAAUUGUUAUUAAGUUUCCUUUUUGAUCUACAACAUUCUUUAAACAUUCUCACUUUUACUCAUUACUCAUAAGCAUUGCAUAGCAUUCAUAAGAGUCAGAUAUUCGAAAGCAUUUCCGUGUUCUUUGGGAGACGACUUAGGGUUACUUUAGCCCUAUCUACUUUCUUGAAUACUACUUGGCAAUACUGAAGUUGCCUUGAAAAGUAGUAUUAAUUUGAUAGCUUCAACGACAGCUUAUCACCAUGUCCACCUCUUCCUCUGCCGUUCCCUCCUCGUCCUCGCCUAUUUCUUCCCCUACCACGCCCGUUUACCCCUCUGCCACGCCCAUUUCCUCCUCGUCCCCGCCCAUUACCCCUUCCACCCUGUUCAAUUAAUUUGGAAACAUUGGUUACUUCUCUGAUAGCAGGGUUGGUCUCCCUGUCAUCUUGUG